AACAUCUGUUCGACUUGAGUAAAAACAUCAUGCUUCUUGUGUAAUGUCGAAACCAAGCAAAUUCGUCAGUCAGGUAAAGAAAGCGACAGAGAGAUCCCGACAACGUUGAAAUAAACGGGAAUAUGAGAAAGCAAGAAAAAGAGACCCAAAUAUGUGAAUAAUUUUCGCUCCCAUCAGUCAGUCAGUUUUGGGUGCGAGUGGGUGGGGAAAAGUGACGAUAAGCGAUUCGUUUCACACUAGAAUGGGUCCGCUUUUUUGUGCUACGGCAAACCUUGAGGGAUUGAAAACGUCAAUUAUUUGAGACAUUUGGGCAUUUUUCGGACAUACACGUGUGGAUGGGAGGUCUUGAGGUCAUUAACAUCUCUGUCCUGAUUGGUAAACGUUUCCACCGGGAAAUUUGGGAACUGGACAAUGGCUAAGUAAUAAAUGGCCGAUUCGAACUCUUUGAAAUGCUCCGUUAUUGUCAAUGGAUCACAUAAAUAUUAUUCCAUUUAGGUGUCAUCCGCCACAUGUGCGUUUUAAGGACACUUUUGAGAUCAUAAACCUGUGUUUUCAGGUGAUAACUCAUCGGUGAUGAUGAGGUUGCUAAACGAGACUCUCAAUGACACAACUCGUGGCAGAAUUAAUUACUAUCAACAGUCACUUUUCAUCUACGGAUUAGGAACGUUUUGAACACUCGAGAACGCUUCUAUAUUUUCUGCUAUGCCCGACCUCAAGUGAAGGCUAGCCUUAAGAAAAAAAGGCCUGUAUUUAUGCUAGAUUACACGUGGAUUAUGCUGAUAUGGCGGUAUUAUUAUCCGACCAAACACCACAACCCUGCAAGAACAUGCCAAACCAAUUUUCCAUAAUGCACCCAUAAACAUGCAACAAAAACCGUGAGAAAGCCACAAUUUCAAAGGCUCGGCGUAAACCGCAAAGCCUUUGGAAAAUUUUUCUAGAUUUGGAACGAAAUGGCAAUGAGUUGGCACAAUCAUAUGGCAAGAAACUCAUUUUAGGUCAGACCCCAUAUUUCAAACUUGGCCUUUAUUGAGAGUCGAAUUCUCCAUGUGUUUUAAGUCAAAAUAAAUCGUGCUUAACUGCCAAUCAAUGCCAAAAAUGGCUGGAUUGAACGUCCUCGUUACUCCGACGAGAAAAGUUUGGAAUACCAGGCCUUGGGAUAAUCGUCAUAAAGCUGUUGGUUUGGUAUUUUUGAAUUGAUUCUUUUCGGCGAACUCAAAUUCUUGACAUUUACUGGAGGCCAACAAUUCAAAGGAAAAGUAUGUUUGGACUGCUCAGAAAGAGUGGGUUAAUGUGAGUCCUUAAUCAUUCCAUAUUUCUUGCCAGCCGACAAUUUACGUACAUCCCGCUCUCUCGAAACUGUCGCAACAAAGACAUUCAAAUGUGUCAUAAACAUAAUUGGUCAAUGCAGAUUUCUGGAGAGGAAAGACGAUCGAAGAUGAACCGAUUGCUGCUUUUGAUCGGGUGACAUUAAGAAACCUUUCACCUGGGAUGAUUUCCCUCUGAUCGCUGAUGGUGAUGUUGUCUUGACUUUUCUCUUCAAUACCUCCUAACCCGACCAUAUGGACAUUCCAGGUUCAUCCUACAUUCCGGCUUUUAUUAGAUGAAAAGAAAUCUGGAACAUGAGUGCAUGUUAAAACCUCUUCGAUUUCACUCGAGGCAAUUUCCAGCAUCAAGGAAGGUAUUUGAAGUGCGAUCCAAAGUUGGAAAAUGUGACUCGUCCUUGUAUUUACAGCCAAGUGUGUUCUUGAAGUGUCUUAUGUGCGGGUGGAAAUGGGCGACGCCUCAUUAACCUGACUGAUCCUUAUCUCAUGAAGCGAAGCCUACGAAGAUGAGCUCUGAUCAUUUCUCGACUCUCAUCAGACCUUGGCACGGACAUCUUAGUUGCACAUUUCAUUUUUGAACUUACCUUAUGGAUUUUUCUUAGAUCUACGGAGAUCUUCAAAAGAGGUUAACCCACUAAUCACUCAGUCGAAUUCCGUCGAAUGGAAGGAAUGGUCCACUAGCGUGACGUGCAAGGUCCACCAAUCUCCAUGAAAAAGUCCACAUAAACACACUAAGAUAGCAGAACAAGUUCCUAAAGCCAACAACAGCCCAAAGCCAGGCCUAAAGUGGAUAGUGAGGCGGAAAAACGGAGGCACUCUCUUCGCGUUUAAUGAGCCUCCUCCGGACACCCAAGACGAGCUUGAAAACAAGGUUUGCCCGAAGACAAGAUGAACUCCUCGGUACGACCAGAAAGAAGGCCGAAGAGAUUUGAAAUCUGAAGCUGGCCUUGUGGCCUUUGACUUGGCCUUGUCGAAGGAUGUUGUGAGCUAUCGGGCUCCCUUAAUUGAACUUGUUAGCCUCGGAAUGAAUUUCCUUAAGAGCCAAACAGUCGGUUCCAGAUUGUUGGCCUCUAAUCUGCCUCUUUGAUCUCAACUUUCGAAGCUUUUUGUUCUUGCGUUGCUGGUAACUUUUUUUUGUUGAGAUACUUGGGGAUUUUUCAACCUCGAGAUUUUCGGAGUGCAGAUAAAAAUUGCAUUUAAUCAGACCAACUGAACUGUGUCUCUCUAGUUUUUUCCCGCUCUAUUUUAUGUUCAAGAAGACAUUGCCAUGAGUUGAGUUCUUCGCCAAGCUUAUUCACUUUUACCGGUCUGGAUGC
Molecule: long non-coding RNA, 2638 nt
Organism: Tigriopus californicus
Lineage: Eukaryota; Metazoa; Arthropoda; Copepoda; Harpacticoida; Harpacticidae
Exons: 2
Source: RefSeq, a predicted model, not a curated record